CCCCUCUCAGGGUGGCACUUGGAGAGUUUCCAGUACUCGACCAAUCUCAACUACGGGAGGGAGAGUCAAGCAGAGGUCUAUCCAUUCCAUUCCUAGCUUGGCCAGUGGCUAACAAGUGGAAGACAAUCUGCUACAAGU
This 138-nucleotide small nucleolar RNA is filed under the name Ornithorhynchus anatinus (platypus). The record is from RNAcentral. Lineage: Eukaryota; Metazoa; Chordata; Mammalia; Monotremata; Ornithorhynchidae.